AAGAUAUUAGUUCAAUGGCAGAACAAGAUAUUACGGAUGUCUUAAUAAUAGUUCAAAUCUAUUAUAUCUUU
This 71-nucleotide transfer RNA is filed under the name Cordyceps farinosa. Its description in RNAcentral is "tRNA-Arg". It matches the Rfam family "tRNA". Rfam says of the family: Transfer RNA (tRNA) molecules are approximately 80 nucleotides in length. Their secondary structure includes four short double-helical elements and three loops (D, anti-codon, and T loops). The record is from RNAcentral. Lineage: Eukaryota; Fungi; Ascomycota; Sordariomycetes; Hypocreales; Cordycipitaceae.